ACGGAGGGUGCAAGCGUUGCUCGGAUUUACUGGGCGUAAAGAGCACGUAGGCGGCUCGGUAAGUCUGAUGUGAAAGCCCACGACUCAAUCGUGGAAGUGCAUUGGAUACUGCCAGGCUAGAAUGCAGGAGGGGUAAGCGGAAUUCCAGGUGUAGAGGUGAAAUUCGUAGAUAUCUGGAGGAACAACGGCGGCGAAGGCGGCUUACUGGACUGAUAUUGACGCUGAGGUGCGAAAGUGUGGGGAGCAAACGGG
RNAcentral lists this ribosomal RNA (252 nucleotides) under uncultured bacterium. Its description in RNAcentral is "partial 16S ribosomal RNA". It matches the Rfam family "Bacterial small subunit ribosomal RNA", at positions 525 to 776 of the family's 1533-position model. The record is from RNAcentral.